AAAAAGACAAACCCUGGAUUUCCGUGCUAAUGUUUAACUGUCCGUCUUAUAUGAAACUUAUUUAUAAUUAGUAUUUUCAUUAUUGUUAGAUGAUAAAACAUAAUUAAUACUUUAUGCGUGACUUAUCUUUUUAAUUUUUUCAUAUUUUUUUUAAAUAAGACGGACGGUCAAACGUUUGAUACGAAAACCAGGGUUUAUCUUUUC
This is a non-coding RNA of Oryza nivara, 204 nucleotides long. Lineage: Eukaryota; Viridiplantae; Streptophyta; Magnoliopsida; Poales; Poaceae. The record is from Rfam.